UCUGUGAGAAGAACAUCUCAAUCUCUGCAUCUCUCUUCUAAGCCAUAUCUUUAACCUGUCCAUGCUACAAUUCCUCUUCGAAAUCCUUCCUUGACAACCCGUAAUGCAUAAAAUCAACAACAGUCCAUGCCCAUAUUGAAGAACCGAAAAUGCAGGGCUACAUCUAUAUACCAACAUCCUUCACUAUCUUCUUAUUGGGCGCAAAUGUAUAAAAACCUCUGCUUUAUUAUUAUUAUUAUUUUUUAUGUAGUUAACGGUAGUUUACCAAAGUUAAUCAUAGGUUAUGUUAAAAUGAACCAAGAGUGAUGUGUCAUGUUUUAUAACCCUUAGAUUAGAUAGAAAAUGUAGAUUUUAUGAACUUUAACUAAAUUCACAUGCUCCUCAGUUUAGAGGAGCCGGAUCCAUUAGGGAUCCGUUUGUUUCAAAAUGUUGUUCUUGAAUGAAUAGAACUUCACCCAAUUAAUUUGAAACAUUAAUUUGGUAAUAACACCCAUAACACAAUUACUAAGCAUUCGAAUUUUAUCAUUUAUGUUUUGUGCUCUCUUCAAUCUAGUUUUGGAAUUGAUGCAGUUGGUUGCAUGUAGUGUCUCUAAUGGAGAUGGUGACUAUAUUGUGUUUUGGCAUAGGGAGUUUAGAUAUUUUGUUGUUGGUGAUGUUGUUGGUGAAAUUGAUGAUGCUAUUUCUUUUGCGUUUAAAUUUUUGGGUUUGAAUUGUGAUCAGCUUUGGAGAUUAGAAUAUGGGUUUCAACUCUGUCUUUGUGUUUUCUCUUAUGUUGGUGCUCUUCUGAUUAUUCUACUUUCUUUUGUUUGAGGAGUGUAGGACUCCAAUAUAGCAAGAAACAUGGGUCAAGUCUAAUAUAAGAAUAAACUAGGCUUAAUGAGUGUAGGACUCCAUUAAGAAUUAAGCCUAGCUAUGGUAGUCCUGUGUACCAAAUGUGUUGUUGAUGUGAUAAUAAGAGAGCCUAACCUGUCACACCCUGACCCCCGGAUGUUUUUUUUUCUUGAGUUGAAGGUGUGACUGGAAAAUAAAAAUAAAAUGGAAAUACAAACCAAAGAUAAUUUGAGGUUUUCAGAAAAAUAUGCAACUGAGCUAUAACUUUGAAAAAUCAUAACUAAUUUUAAAAACUUAUUUUCAAGAGAUUCUAGUUUUGAAACGAUCAUUAAGGUCUCUGUUCUAACUUUCAUGAAGAUGUCAAGUGGAAACAACUAACCAAUUUGUACAGUUUUUCGAAAGAAGGUAACUGGUCCAAAAUUUCAGAAAAAUACAAAUCUGCAGAAUUUCCUGAUGAAGACCCUAAACUUUGAAAAAUCAUAACUUAAUCUACAGAAAUUGUUUUCAAGUGAUUCAAAAUCUGGAAUGAACCUUAAGAUUUCUACUACAACUCUUAUGAAGAAACCAACUUCAAAUUUCUAACAAAACUAUACGGUUUUCAGAAGAAAGAUAACUGGUGCAGAAUUUCAGACACAAUGUUUCAAAUUUGCAGGUUUUGUUUUUGCCUUGAGUUUAAAUACACAGACCUAACUCUAAAAGCUGGAGGAUAAUGAAACCAAACAAAGGCCUUGGAAUUGACUGAAAAUCAUAACCAAUUCAUUGAGCAUACCAUGGAUUAAGAGAAAGAAUAAACUUAUAUUGCAGCAAAGUUACAAAUAGAUUUCAAUACAGAAUUCUUGAAAGUUCAUUAUUCCAACUAAAAUUAAAACAUAAACUUAAAAGGCAAAACCACAAACUGGCAACCUUUUGCUCUUAUUCUAUACAGAAAAUUAAAGAGACAAGCCACACACUUUCAUCACAUCAUGCACAAAGCUCUUCAAAUAGAGAAACUUAAACUUUAUGUUCAAUACCUGCACAAUAUAUUCUUAAGGGUGAGCAACGCUCAGUAGGAGGCUAGUCCUCUUUAAACAACAGAUGUCAACCAUAACAAUGCAUGAAUGCAAUGAUCCCUUCAAUAAUAACCCCUUCACCCAAACCAUGUUUCCCUUUUUGUUAGUCCUCUUGCUUAAUGUCGAUCACCAAAAUCGUACAGCCAUACUUGGUCCUUACGAAUUAAGCUCAACUACACAAAAGUAUUCUCCCACAAAUUUCAUUCCCAAAUUCACCAAUCUCCUGUCUCUAUUUUAUAUUCAUGAACAUGUUGAUUAACUAAGAAUAUAUCACAAAUAACACCUUAUCAAUAAUUCCACAAUCAAGUUUCAUAAACAAAAUCAUAUAUAACAAAACAUCAGCCAGAAACACAACAAUUACACAUAGCUUCAAAACAGCAAACAACAAACAAAACACAUAUAGAAUACCAGCAAACAAAACACAAUAAAUUAAAUAGAGGUUCCCGAGAUCUCCCUACCUCAAUUCAAAAGCUAUGAUUUUCAGAUACUCUCUUGUUCUCAGAAAAUUUUCCUUCCCUCACUAUUUCUUUUCUUUUUGUAAACACUAGAGAUAGGAAAACUCAAUGAAAAAUAAGAGAACAAAACCUGGUAUUUAUAUUACUAUGCAAACAGGUCAGAAUUCAAUUCUAGAUAGGAUAAGAUCGGAUGCCACCUCGAUAGGAAUCUCCACCUCCUGCUUCUUGGUAACUGAUUUCUCCAAGUCUUCUCCUAUAUGAACGACAACUCUACCUUCUAACAUUAUUAUUGUAGUGGUUCUGAUCUUCUAAUCUAAGUGGAGUGGUGCUUGCAAGGAGGAACAGAAAAGAGGAGGAUGACCACAAAGAGAGCAGAGGCCGAAUGAGGUUGAACACUUAUAUACAUACAUACAUAUAUACAACCCCCUUCCAUUGAGGGAUCCCUAUUUUUGGCCACUUUCUAGGGAUAGGGCAUUACACCACUUCCCAAUUGAAUUUUUACAUCUCCACCGUUCAUAUCUUAGGUCUAUAUGAGUAGAUCACAUCUACAAAAUUUCAUAUGAUUUGGUGAUCGUUAAGACUUUCAAAAGUUUGAUGUAGUUUUAAUGAUUUNNN
RNAcentral lists this long non-coding RNA (2950 nucleotides) under Fragaria vesca (wild strawberry). RNAcentral describes it as "long non-coding RNA (FVES_LNC003357)". Lineage: Eukaryota; Viridiplantae; Streptophyta; Magnoliopsida; Rosales; Rosaceae. The record is from RNAcentral.